Molecule: ribosomal RNA, 253 nt
Filed under: uncultured bacterium
Lineage: Bacteria
Description: partial 16S ribosomal RNA
Rfam family: Bacterial small subunit ribosomal RNA
Source: RNAcentral
UACAGAGGGGGCGAGCGUUGUUCGGAAUUACUGGGCGUAAAGGGCGCGUAGGUGGCCUGCUAUGUCGAACGUGAAAUCCCUGGGCUCAACCCAGGAACUGCGUCCGAAACUGGCAGGCUCGAAUCCGGGAGAGGGAUGUGGAAUUCCAGGUGUAGCGGUGAAAUGCGUAGAUAUCUGGAGGAACACCCAUGGCGAAGGCAGCAAACUGGGCAUCAUCUGACGCUGAGGCGCGAAAGCGUGGGUAGCAAACAGG